GUUGGUUCACAUGCUUGGCCCGGCCUGAGCCUUCUGCUUUCCAAGGUGCAGUGGGGUCUGGUGGAGCUUAAGCCCCCGGGAUGGUUCCUCCGGGGAUGCUUGCUUGUCCGAGCACGGCAGAGCCAGUGGUGGAACCAGUCGAAGAUGAAGCUCCUAGGGCGGUUCCUCCACAGAUUUUGGAUGAGAUCCCUGAUGGGCUCAUUAAUGAUGAUCUUCUAGAGGAACGCCUCUUGAAGAAGAUGUAGAAGUCGCUGAAGCGAGUUUACAUUCAUCAUAAGGUAAUAUUUUCCUUGAGGUAAGUAGUACGCUUUAUUUUUCUGAAUGCAAGUAUUUGUGAUAGCCUGCUUCUAUUGUUGCUUGUGCAGAAAAUGGCUCAGAGGUCACGGAUCAAGUUGUCUGCUCUGGCUGUCGAGUCAGAGCGGCUCCAGUAGGUUCCUACUCUCAAGCGGGAUCUUGAGGAGAAGGAUGACCUGAUUGCUGCACUUGCGGAGCAGCUGGCAGUGGCUCGUGAGAGCGUGACUGGUUCCUCCAGCCAUCGUGAAGAGGAAUUUGCUCAGCUCAAGCGGGAAAGAGAUCAGGCUCUUCGAGAUUGCACGGAACUUCGUGGGUUCAACGCCGAUCUCGGAGAGUACAAAAAGACCAUUGAGCAGUAGUUGGAGCAAGCUGACAAGAAGAUCACCGAGCACCUCCAUACCAUCCAGAAGCUGAAUCGGGACAGGACCGAAGAGACGAGGAAAUCUUUAACCUGGAAGUGGCGGGUCGCGCUGUGGUCGACAUAGUGCAACCACUUCGCCCGAGUGACCAUGACUCUCGGUCUGUCAUGGCACGGCUCAAGGAUGUUCCAGGGUCGUUGAGGGAUUCCUGGAAGAAGAAAUCGAGUGGGGAAUAGGCUGGUAGCAUGAUAUAGGGCCUUCUGUGUAUAAACUUUUGCCACUUCUGGACAUAUAUAAGGCCUUUCGCUGUGUGGUUACGCUUCUUGUUUAUUUAUCA
Panicum virgatum (switchgrass) is the source of this 990-nucleotide long non-coding RNA. RefSeq lists it as uncharacterized. The transcript is spliced from 2 exons. The record is from RefSeq and is a predicted model, not a curated record. Lineage: Eukaryota; Viridiplantae; Streptophyta; Magnoliopsida; Poales; Poaceae.